This 612-nucleotide ribosomal RNA is filed under the name Salmonella enterica subsp. enterica serovar Derby. Its description in RNAcentral is "partial 23S ribosomal RNA". It matches the Rfam family "Bacterial large subunit ribosomal RNA", at positions 1 to 652 of the family's 2925-position model. RNAcentral also lists the same sequence under 2 other names. The record is from RNAcentral. Lineage: Bacteria; Pseudomonadati; Pseudomonadota; Gammaproteobacteria; Enterobacterales; Enterobacteriaceae.
GGUUAAGCGACUAAGCGUACACGGUGGAUGCCCUGGCAGUCAGAGGCGAUGAAGGGCGUGCUAAUCUGCGAUAAGCGCCGGUAAGGUGAUAUGAACCGUUAUAACCGGCGAUACCCGAAUGGGGAAACCCAGUGUGAUUCGUCACACUAUCAUUAACUGAAUCCAUAGGUUAAUGAGGCGAACCGGGGGAACUGAAACAUCUAAGUACCCCGAGGAAAAGAAAUCAACCGAGAUUCCCCCAGUAGCGGCGAGCGAACGGGGAGGAGCCCAGAGCCUGAAUCAGCAUGUGUGUUAGUGGAAGCGUCUGGAAAGGCGCGCGAUACAGGGUGACAGCCCCGUACACAAAAGCGCAUGUGCUGUGAGCUCGAUGAGUAGGGCGGGACACGUGGUAUCCUGUCUGAAUAUGGGGGGACCAUCCUCCAAGGCUAAAUACUCCUGACUGACCGAUAGUGAACCAGUACCGUGAGGGAAAGGCGAAAAGAACCCCGGCGAGGGGAGUGAAAAAGAACCUGAAACCGUGUACGUACAAGCAGUGGGAGCACCCUUUGGGGUGUGACUGCGUACCUUUUGUAUAAUGGGUCAGCGACUUAUAUUCUGUAGCAAGGUUAACCG